GAUCAUGGCUCAGGACGAACGCUGGCGGCGUGCCUAAUACAUGCAAGUAGAACGCUGAAGGAGGAGCUUGCUUCUCCGGAUGAGUCACGAACGGGUGAGUAACGCGUAGGUAACCUGCCUGGUAGCGGGGGAUAACUGUUGGAAACGAUAGCUAAUACCGCAUAAUAGUAGAUGUUGCAUGACAUUUGCUUAAAAGGUGCAAUUGCAUCACUACCAGAUGG
Molecule: ribosomal RNA, 221 nt
Filed under: uncultured bacterium
Lineage: Bacteria
Description: partial 16S ribosomal RNA
Rfam family: Bacterial small subunit ribosomal RNA
Source: RNAcentral